AACUCGUCCAUGUUUCGCUUAACACCAUCAUUGAGAACUGAAAAGAAAUUUCGGCCAAUGGUUCCUCUAGGCAUGAUGUCUUGUUUCUCACAGAAUGCGUGUUCGAUGGGUGCAUUCGAUGGAAGGAGUGGCCAGUGCUUCUACAAUUUCGUUUAGAUCGCAAGUGGAGUAAAAUUUCAUUUUAUUCCGCACCAUUCAGGUGCAAGCUUUGCCAGCAGCGCGGCUGCCUUUUCGAUGGAUGGAUGGAUGCUAUGAGCGUCCCCGUUAUAACGGGGUGGUGACAAGUAUGCCACCAGGCUCGA
Molecule: long non-coding RNA, 302 nt
Organism: Rhipicephalus microplus (southern cattle tick)
Lineage: Eukaryota; Metazoa; Arthropoda; Arachnida; Ixodida; Ixodidae
Source: RefSeq, a predicted model, not a curated record